RNAcentral lists this unclassified non-coding RNA (269 nucleotides) under uncultured fungus. Its description in RNAcentral is "sequence contains ITS1, 5.8S rRNA gene". The stretch from base 221 to 269 matches the Rfam family "5.8S ribosomal RNA", at positions 1 to 49 of the family's 154-position model. The record is from RNAcentral. Lineage: Eukaryota; Fungi.
UCUCCGUUGGUGAACCAGCGGAGGGAUCAUUACAGAGUUAUCUACCUCCCAAACCCAUGUGAACUUACCAUUUGUUGCCUCGUCAGAGCCUACCCGGUAACUGUUCGGAGAAGCUACCCUGUAGCUACCCUGUAACGGCCUACCCUGUAACGCACUGCCGGUGGACUUUUAAACUCUUGUUAUUUUAUAGUUAUCUGGGCGUCUUAUUUUAUUAAGUCAAACCUUUCAACAACGGAUCCCUUGGUUCUGGCAUCGAUGAAGAACGCAGC